RNAcentral lists this ribosomal RNA (744 nucleotides) under uncultured cyanobacterium. RNAcentral's name for it is "bacterial SSU rRNA". It matches the Rfam family "Bacterial small subunit ribosomal RNA", at positions 1 to 795 of the family's 1533-position model. Lineage: Bacteria; Bacillati; Cyanobacteriota. The record is from RNAcentral.
GCUUAGAGUUUGAUCCUGGCUCAGGAUGAACGCUGGCGGCGUGCUUAACACACGCAAGUCGAACGGUCUCUUCGGAGAUAGUGGCGGACGGGUGAGUAACGCGUGAGAAUCUGCCUUUAGGUUCGGGACAACAGUUGGAAACGACUGCUAAUACCGAAUGUGUCGCAAGAUGAAAGAUUUAUUGCCUAAAGAUGAGCUCGCGUCUGAUUAGCUAGUUGGUGGGGUAAAAGCGUACCAAGGCGACGAUCAGUAGCUGGUCUGAGAGGAUGAUCAGCCACACUGGGACUGAGACACGGCCCAGACUCCUACGGGAGGCAGCAGUGGGGAAUUUUCCGCAAUGGGCGAAAGCCUGACGGAGCAACGCCGCGUGAGGGAGGAAGGCUUUUGGGUUGUAAACCUCUUUUAUCAAGGAAGAUAAUGACGGUACUUGAUGAAUCAGCAUCGGCUAACUCCGUGCCAGCAGCCGCGGUAAUACGGAGGAUGCAAGCGUUAUCCGGAAUAAUUGGGCGUAAAGCGUUCGUAGGUGGUUUUGCAAGUCUGCUGUUAAAGCGUGUAGCUUAACUACAUAAUGGCGGUGGAAACUGCAAAACUAGAGUGCGUUCGGGGCAGAGGGAAUUCCUGGUGUAGCGGUGAAAUGCGUAGAUAUCAGGAAGAACACCGGUGGCGAAGGCGCUCUGCUAGGCCGCAACUGACACUGAGGGACAAAAGCUAGGGGAGCGAAUGGGAUUAGAUACCCCAGUAGUC